AAAAAUGAAAAAAAAAAAGAAAAGAACAAGCAAUACAAAUUCGUCGAGUAAUAGAACGAAGGGGUUCUAUUGAUAUCGAAUACGUCAUUGGCUAGAAUACAAUGGCGCCGCCAAGCGGCGAAUCAGGAAACUCAUCUAGUCAACAUGGCCACGGCGCGAGAAACUCUCGUGUCUCUCGUCGGUCUCGUCAGUGUCUCCUCGGGAGUCCGUACGUCUGUUCGUUCGUUCGUCGUGUUCUAUAAAAUUUUUACGCGUAACUUAAUUCGUAUCCUCAAUUCAUUUCGUUUUCGAACAUCGACAUAAUAAUACAUAUCCGGAUUAAAAGAGUUUUGUGUGAUACGUUGAGAAAAUAAAGGGAGGGAUUGAAAUAACGCGAUAAAGGAGAUAGAAAUAAACUUCGCCGUAAGAAUUACUAUCAAGAGUAACAUCACAACCACUUACAAAAUCAGUAAACCACCACCAGUACUAGCACCAGCACCAGCACCAGCACCAGCACCACCACCAGCACCAGCACCAGCACCACCGUCGUCUACGUCGUCGGUGUCGUCUACGUCGUCGUUGUCGUCGUCGUCGUCGUCAUCUUCGUCAUCGUCAUCGUCAUUAUUAUCACCAUCAUAUACGAAGGCGAGCGUCGAGGACGAAGAUGGCCGAGAGUAAAGGAGCGCUGAUUGCGAAGACAGUGCAAAAGCACGCGGGUAGAGCGAAAGAGAAGUUCCUUCAGAAUCUCGGGAAGGUCGACAGAACAGCGGACGACAUACUUGACGAGCACCUACAGAACUUCACGAGACAGCAAUAUUCCGCCAACAGGCUGCAAAAGGAGUUCAACAAUUACAUCAGGUGUGUUCGAGCCGUACAAGUGGCUUCGAAAACAUUGAUGGACUCGCUCAAUGAAAUCUACGAGAGUCAAUGGACUGGUCAUGAUCUUCUUUAUGUGCAAGCACAAAACUUGGAUAUGCUGUGGCAGGAUUUUACUCACAAACUUGCGGACCAAGUGCUCGUACCUCUCAAUACAUAUCAAAGCCAAUUUCCUGAGAUGAGAAAGAAAAUUGACAAACGUGGAAGAAAAUUGGUGGACUAUGAUAGUCAAAGACACAAUUUCCAAUCGCUCCAAUGUAAUCUAAAGAAGAGAGAUGAAAUUAAAGUAUCACGAGGCAAGGAACUUUUGGAAGAAGCUAAACGUACAUACGAACAAUUAAACUCCGAACUUCACGACGAAUUGCCAGCUUUGUACGAUUCUCGUGUUUUAUUCCUUGUGACCAAUUUACAAACUUUAUUCGCUGCCGAACAAGUUUUUCAUGCCGAGAGUGCCAAGGUCUAUUCCGAAUUAGAGGCAAUUGUUGAUAAACUUGCCAAUGAAAGUCAGAGAGGAUCUUAUACGUUGAAAAAGAACACCGAACCCCAAUCUCCAAAAUCACCAAAUGCCAACUCAACUUUAAUAAUAAAUACACAACCAUCGCAAAACAACAUCUCAACAGCUGUGGAGGACUCGGUACCACCAGCUAGAGAUACGUCGCCAACAACCCAAUUAAAUGGCAAUGCUAACAGCAAUGCUAAUAGCAAUGAUAAUUCUCUCAAUAAUCAGGAUGCUUCUCCGCAAAGUACAGUCGUACCUACCAAAUGUGUUGAAGAAUUAUAUGAUAUUCCAGUCGACGUGGAAUAUGAAAAUGGUACCAAUUUCUCUGCAGGGGCGACAACGGACAAUUUGCCACCUGGUGUUUUGUAUAGGGUCAAGACUACAUAUAAAUACAGUCAGGAAGACGUGGAUGAAUUGUCCUUUGACGUUGGUGAAAUAAUACGCGUUGUAAAAUAUGAUGACCCAGAAGAACAGGAAGAGGGCUGGUUAAUGGGUAUCAAAGAGGGUACGAAUGAAAAAGGAAUGUUUCCAGCAAACUUUACAAAGCCACUGUGAAAGCUUUUUCAGGUUUAUCCUUUAUUAUCAGAAUGCUCACAGAAAUGUCAUCUUGAUAAUUUUAUAAGGUUUUCGUUGUCAAAGAUUCGUCGUCUCUAAUCGGUGUAUAUCAUUAUUAUACAUAUAUAUAUAUAUGCAUAUAUAUAUAUAUAUAUAUAUACACAUAAGUUAAGAGUGCAAUAACUUCUUUGCAUAAGCCAAAUUAUUGUAAGCGUAUCGAAUCGUGGACCAAGAGAAAACAAAAACAAAAAAAAAAUUGUGAACUUUGAUUCUUCAAUGCCAAAAGAGCUCUGGUUUAAGACUGUGAAGAAGAACAUGAGAGAAAAAAAAAAUAUUUGAUAAUUAUUUGUUAUAGGUAUAAGUAUUUAUACUCCACUUUUUUUUUUUUUUUUUUUUUUUUUUAAUUAAGUUCCUGACUUAUGUUUUAUUUUUUAAAUUACAUUCCAGAAAAAUUUGUCAUACUCAUAUAUAUAUAUGCACUUACAGUAAAACAUACAUGAAAUAUAUUAUUUCAGAAUUAAAAUGAACUUAAUAAAUUUCAAUUAAUUGGACUUCCAAAUUACACAUAAAAAAACAUCAUUCAGAAUUGUCAUUAGAUUCAAAAGUCUAAAUAUAAUUAAAAGUGGAGUAUAAAGUUGUGCCUUGAUUUUCUAAGUUUAACGAGUACCAUGUACUAUAUUGUCUUUUAUCGAAUGUAUUCAAUGAUAACGAAAUAAUAUAAAUGUAUUUUGUUGAGUUGAAAAAAGGAAAAGAAAAAGAAAAAAAAAGGAAAAAAAACGAUAUUUAUAUAAUGAUAGCGCUGAAAGAGAGAGAGAGAGAGAGAGUGUGUGUGUGUGUAUGUGUAUGUACGUUUAAGUUUGGAAAUCAACAUGUUACUGCCAUGGGGUACAAAAUUAAUCUUUAAAAUCGUAUGAUUAAUUUUAAUUAGAUGUGUGUCAAAACUUUCUGUUAUAAUAUAAUGCCCUUUAUACUGCGUACAAUUUUUAUCUGACCGAACGAUUUGCAUUUAAUAUUUGAAGGGGGAAAAAAAAAAAAGAAAAAAAAGAACAAACAAAAAACGAGAGUGAGAGAGAGAGAGAGAUUGAGAUUGAGAUUGAGAGAGAGAGAGAGAGAGAGAGAGAGAGAGAAGAAAAAAAAAUUAUUAAAAAAACGAGAGAAAAAUAAGAAAAAUGAUUUUUAAGAGGUUUGAAUAUCAUCAUCCCUCUUUCCAAGUAAUAUUUCCAAUAACACUUAAUAAUCAUACACGUUCUUUGGAUACAGUCGGGUUAUAAUUUUAUUAUACAUAAUUAGAGAACGGCAAUAUAUAAUACACGAAGAAAAUAUAUUUAAAAAAUAUAUAUAUACAUAAAAAAAAAAAAAUAAAAAAAAUAAAAAAUAAAAAAAUACAUUUUAAAGAAAAAAAAAAAAAAAGAGAUAACACCAAAGCAUUCUAUACUUGAGCUUAAUAGAAGAAGAAUGUUAUCAAACAGUGUAGUAGUGUAUUAUCAACAUUUUUAGGUUAUAAUAAACAAAAUAUAUAUAUAUACAUAUAUACAUAUAUAUAUAUAUAUAUGCAAUAUAAUAUUGA
Vespa crabro (European hornet) is the source of this 3476-nucleotide RNA transcript. It is a transcript of the gene named myc box-dependent-interacting protein 1, with no coding region annotated. NCBI's taxonomy places the organism in Eukaryota, Metazoa, Arthropoda, Insecta, Hymenoptera, Vespidae. The transcript is spliced from 10 exons. The record is from RefSeq and is a predicted model, not a curated record.